RNAcentral lists this ribosomal RNA (483 nucleotides) under uncultured bacterium. RNAcentral describes it as "partial 16S ribosomal RNA". It matches the Rfam family "Bacterial small subunit ribosomal RNA", at positions 28 to 507 of the family's 1533-position model. The record is from RNAcentral.
GAUGAACGCUGGCGGCGUGCCUAACACAUGCAAGUCGAACGGAGUCGUUUUGGAAAUCUCUUCGGAGAUGGAAUUCUCGACUUAGUGGCGGACGGGUGAGUAACGCGUGAGCAAUCUGCCUUUAAGAGGGGGAUAACAGUCGGAAACGGCUGCUAAUACCGCAUAAAGCAUUAAAUUCGCAUGUUUUUGAUGCCAAAGGAGCAAUCCGCUUUUAGAUGAGCUCGCGUCUGAUUAGCUAGUUGGCGGGGUAACGGCCCACCAAGGCGACGAUCAGUAGCCGGACUGAGAGGUUGAACGGCCACAUUGGGACUGAGACACGGCCCAGACUCCUACGGGAGGCAGCAGUGGGGAAUAUUACGCAAUGGGGGAAACCCUGACGCAGCAACGCCGCGUGAUUGAAGAAGGCCUUCGGGGUGUAAAGAUCUUUAAUCAGGGACGAAACAAAUGACGGUACCUGAAGAAUAAGCGCCGGCUAACUACGUG